This is a long non-coding RNA of Hibiscus syriacus, 146 nucleotides long. RefSeq lists it as uncharacterized. Lineage: Eukaryota; Viridiplantae; Streptophyta; Magnoliopsida; Malvales; Malvaceae. The record is from RefSeq and is a predicted model, not a curated record. The transcript is spliced from 3 exons.
ACACUUCCUGAGUUGGAGAGCUUGCACAUGGUUUGAAAGGUUGUGUACAACUUUAUGAACUCUUAAGAAGUGCACUGAAAAUGAUUGAUAUUUCUUCUUUUGUUAAUCUAAUUUGAAGAUUGUGUUAUUAUUCAGCGACGUUAAAA